This 370-nucleotide ribosomal RNA is filed under the name uncultured bacterium. RNAcentral describes it as "bacterial SSU rRNA". It matches the Rfam family "Bacterial small subunit ribosomal RNA", at positions 917 to 1291 of the family's 1533-position model. The record is from RNAcentral.
GGGCCCGCACAAGCGGUGGAGCAUGUGGUUUAAUUCGAUGAUACGCGAGGAACCUUACCAGGGCUUAAAUGUAGUAUGACCGGCUUGGAAACAGGCCUUCUCUUCGGAGCAGAUUACAAGGUGCUGCAUGGUUGUCGUCAGCUCGUGCCGUGAGGUGUUAGGUUAAGUCCUGCAACGAGCGCAACCCCUAUUCUUAGUUGCCAGCGGUUCGGCCGGGGACUCUAAGAAGACUGCCAGCGCAAGCUGAGAGGAAGUGGGAUGACGUCAAUCAUCACGGCCCUUACGUCCUGGGGCUACACACGUGCUACAAUGGUAGAGACAGAGGGCAGCAAGUUCGCGAGGACAAGCAAAUCCCAUAAACGUGGCUCAG